UCAGGGACAUUUUAUUAGAUACCAAGGAUUCAAAGCUCAAUAAGAUAUGAUCUUUGAUCUCUCAGUUAGCAAAGUAUUUACAGGGCACAAUGAAUUACAAAGGAAGGUAUGGUUAGUUCUACUCAGUAAUCAGAGAGAAGACCACAGUAUGUUUCCUAUGUUUGGGUACUUUUUUCAUAUCUUUGCUUAUGCUGUACUACUUUGCUUCAUGGAUUACUAAGAAAACAGGCAACACACAAGGACACUUUGACAAAAGAAUCUUUACAGCCACAGAAAAAUACAAAAUCACUACGCUCCAUAAACUACAUGACUAGAAGGGAAAAGUAAAAGUAGCAUUGACCCAUCUCUGUCUUCACUCUUCAGAUACAGUAUACUUAAAUAAUGUGGUUUUUUUAAUACUCCCUGAUGUUAUUUUUGUUUGUGCUAUAUCUCGCACACGACACAGUCAACUACUUGAAAGCAGAAAUAGACUGUGUUUUAUUUAUCUUUACAUUCCCCUCAGUCUUGACAGAGUGCCUUACCCAUAUUAGGAGCUGAGUGAAUUAUUUGUUGAAUGUAUGAAUGAGUGGAUAGCUAGUUAUAUAUGGUAUGUGAGGUAUCCUUCUAAGUGCUUUACCUAUAUUUACUCAUGGUAUCUUCCCAGCAAUCCUGUGAAGUAGAUUCUACUUAUUCCUCAUUCUACAAAUGAGGAAAGUAAUACCCAGAGAGGCUGUUACCUACCAAAGAGCCUGUAGGUAAGAACUGGAUGGCAAACCCAGGCAACCUGGUUUUAGACUGCUCUAGCUGCUGUCUUAGUUUUGAAAAACAAACUUAUUGAAAUACUUCAUUAACGAAUAGGAGACAGAAAGAAAACACGAAUGUUGUACAUUUUAACAGCAACAGCAACUGGUCACCUACGACGGAAACAGAAAGAUUACACUUAGCAUAGAAUUUGUCAAAGCAUGAAGGUGUUAUCCAUUAACUGGAUGAGUCAAAUGAUGCAAGGGAAAACCUUCAACCGUGAGUGAAAGCAGUCAUCUGAGUGGCUGUUAGUAUUGUCUGAGGGCUGAGAAAUGACUCCCUUUUGUUCUUAGGUAGACAUGCAGAAACAAACAAAACGAAGCGACAGUUUGUUUCACCUCUUGGUGAUGCAAAGAAACCACAUUGUGAGUUCGGUAGACAGCAAAUUAUUUGACUCGCACAAUAAAGUUUAAUAAACCUGGCUGUUGUAGAGGAAACUCAAGACUUUAACAAUAGCAACGAGAACAACAGCAGCAACAGCAGGACUUUCUUGGUGUUCCUGGCCAUCUGCCUGACGUCCAGAGUUGCCUGCAUUCUGACAAGACAGAAUGGCUCACCUAGCUUCAGAACAACAUCAGAGGUGCCAACACAAAGUAGACCAGAUACACUGUCCAAAAUACCCCUCCAUGGUUAUUCCAAACCAGGACUAAGCCAGGAGGUGUUCCAAAAAUAUAUCACUAUAUUUUGGCCUGAGUGUCACUUCCCCACUUGGCAAGCUAGGGCUAGAGAAAUUGGAACAGAGAUUUCCUGUUAGCCUGUCUUGUAUUCUCUCCUCUCAGAUAUACAUCUUUGACUUGUCCCAUCUCCAAUGACACAGUUGCCCCAGCUUUUAUAAUUAUUUGUACAUAUCAGAAAGGAGCAGAAGCUGUACAUUUUGUCUCCAACCUUCUCCAAAAUAAUUUCAGCCAAACUGUUCUCUUCACACUAAAAUGUUUUUAAGUGAAUAAAUGACCAACUGAAUGAA
Molecule: long non-coding RNA, 1744 nt
Organism: Felis catus (domestic cat)
Lineage: Eukaryota; Metazoa; Chordata; Mammalia; Carnivora; Felidae
Exons: 2
Source: RefSeq, a predicted model, not a curated record